Athene cunicularia (burrowing owl) is the source of this 193-nucleotide long non-coding RNA. RefSeq lists it as uncharacterized. NCBI's taxonomy places the organism in Eukaryota, Metazoa, Chordata, Aves, Strigiformes, Strigidae. The transcript has 3 exons. The record is from RefSeq and is a predicted model, not a curated record.
UUUUAUGACCAUGUGAUCAAGUUAAUGCCACUUUAUUAAAGGAUACACAGCAAUUUAUAGACUACCAUGAAGUACAUGUGCAGCUACUUGAUUGCUAAUAGGCUAAAGCUACUUGUCCAUGUGCCCUUUUGCCCUCUAUGAUUGGUCCCGGUGUGGUGUCCACGAGCUGUUCUCUCUCCCCCCAGGUGGAGCC